CCGUCCUUUUUUAUUCCUUUUUCUUUCCUGCUUACUCACCAACGUUUCAUGCUUUGUGGUUGACUUUUAAAUCUUCCACGUGUCCAUAGUCUUUCUUAUCUCUGGUCAAACCCACCGUCUCUCAUACCGACUUUCUGAAAUUUUCCAUCGCCUAUCCGUAAUCCAUAUCCCCUUCGACGUCUGUUACUGCUCCUUCAGCCUCACCAUCUCCAUCAAUGUUUCUCUUUAAAAAACCGUCGUCUCCAUCAUAUGACCAAACCCACCGACUCAUCCAUCCUCAACUUCAAACGAACCCGUUACUAUUCACCGGUCUUCCAUUAAGUGGUAGCAAGGUCGGCCACCAGGAAAUUGAUCCAGCCAUAUGAUUUCAUUCUUUGUGUUCUCACUUUUCAAGGGUUUUCGUAACCCUAUGCGUCUGUCUACCCCUCCUCCAUUUGCUGAGGAAGCACAAUAUUCGUCCGAAGCGGACUACACCAUCCUCAAAAUCGCAAGAAUUAACGAUUCCACUGUUGUUCAAGAUGUUGGUGGAGAAUGAUGAGUUGCUGACUGCUUUUCAUCCAACCUUCAAGUCUACUUCUUGCCGGAUCUAAACCCUAGACGGUCCAGGAGACCACCUCCAUCGACAUGUCAGUAAAAAAUACAUACUGAUUCACAGCUGUUCAACUCUUCACAUUGCAACUCAAAGAAGGAGCCACUGUAUUAUCUUUUUCCAAUUCUGUUUUUGGAAGAUCUACCAAAUACGACAUACUACUUCAUCACAGUAUCUCAUCUCCAAGGUUCUCUGCUUUCCAAUUAUGCCAAAUUGAUUAGGAAGUGGGAGUUCAGGGAUUAGAAAGCUCAAAAAACAAGGAGAGUUAGGAACAAAAAAAAUCAAGAAUUCAAAAGUAAGAAGGCAAAAGUUUGGUCCAGUCUUCCCCAUUUCGGCUCCACAAACUUUGAUUUGGCAGGCUUCUGCAUGUCCCAUUGCCAUUGUGUAUUAUUGAAAAGUUCAAUAUUUCAACCAGGUGCGAUAGUUACUUCAUGAUUGAUGUUCUCCAUGAUGUGUGUAAAUAUUUCACUUUCUUUUUUACUUUCUUCUUCUUCUUCUUCUUCUGUAUCUGUUAAUGGUAUUUAUAAACCGAGUUGCAGGUUUUAAUCAUGAAAAUGUUAAACCAUCCAAAUAUAGUAAAUCUGAUAGAAGUAAUUGAUGAUCAUUUCUACAUGUGUAUGCAACAGUUAACACCUUCAUUUUAAUCUUAUUGUAUAAAAUAUAAACACUACAUAUUUACUAUUAGUCUUCCGCUGCCUGAGCAGCCGCCCUUGACAUACCAUUACAGUCUCGAUUCCUCAUGAAUAUUGGAAUGAUAGAUCUUUAAUGGACAAAAAUGAUGUUGAAGAAUUGAAGAUGCAAAGAGGAGAUAGAAUCACAUGCUUAUUCUAAAGGGCUGUUGAAUAAUCUAACACAAGCCUUGGGUUCUUGUGGAGUAAUACUUGAAUAAUCUAACGCAACUAGAAAUGAUUUUCUACCUGCGCCACCGCCGACGGUGCCCAUCCGUCGGAAUAUAGUAUUUUCUUCCUUCGUUACAGCUCACGCCACUAAAAUUUCACAAAUCAUUCUCUCUCUCUCUCUCUCUCUCUCUCUCUCUCUCUUUUGUGUAGAUUGUAGUUUUUUUUGGCAUUUAUAAAUUGGUAAGUUCCACCUACAACUUCUCCAAUCCCUUCCUCUCAUUUGUAUGGUCUGAUGAUUUGUAUUGUGUUUUUUUUACAGAGCUUCAAUGUUGUUCCCAGAUGUUUCUCCCCUUUUUGGAACAUCUUCAACCGACUAGAGUUCGGAACCACUCACCUCAAACGAAAUGAAAUGUUGACUUUGGUCGAAAUUCUUCGGGAGGAGUCCAUGAGCUGAUCCGGUGAAAAUUAAACGCCAACAGAAACUUACGUUUUGUAUAAAUGUUUAUAGCGUUUUUCUGCAAAUUACACAGAAUAGCAACAUAUUUUAAUGUGGAUACCAAUUUAUGCAAUGUACUUCAUUAUUUGUCUCACAAAA
Non-coding RNA from Lactuca sativa (garden lettuce), 2023 nucleotides. NCBI's taxonomy places the organism in Eukaryota, Viridiplantae, Streptophyta, Magnoliopsida, Asterales, Asteraceae. The record is from RefSeq and is a predicted model, not a curated record.